GCCCGAUCGAACGACUCCUUCGCCGACUCUGCCUCCGCCUUCGCUAUAUCGACGUCGGCUUGGGCGAUUGACAAGUCCUCCUCGGCCUUGGCAAGAUUCUCCAGGCUAACUCGGAGCUGCUCGCGUUCGGCCUCGAGUUCGACGACGACGCCGUCCCGCUCGCACCGCAGUCGGUGAGCGGUCCGACCCUUGCGCUUGGCUUCCCCACGGGCCGACUUAAGUUCGGCCCC
This 230-nucleotide long non-coding RNA is filed under the name Elaeis guineensis (African oil palm). Its description in RNAcentral is "long non-coding RNA (EGUI_LNC032662)". The record is from RNAcentral. Lineage: Eukaryota; Viridiplantae; Streptophyta; Magnoliopsida; Arecales; Arecaceae.